This 506-nucleotide ribosomal RNA is filed under the name uncultured bacterium. RNAcentral describes it as "partial 16S ribosomal RNA". It matches the Rfam family "Bacterial small subunit ribosomal RNA", at positions 30 to 523 of the family's 1533-position model. The record is from RNAcentral.
AUUGAACGCUGGCGGCAGGCCUAACACAUGCAAGUCGAACGGCAGCACAGAAGAGCUUGCUCUUUGGGUGGCGAGUGGCGGACGGGUGAGUAAUGUCUGGGAAACUGCCCGAUGGAGGGGGAUAACUACUGGAAACGGUAGCUAAUACCGCAUAACGUCGCGAGACCAAAGUGGGGGACCUUCGGGCCUCACACCAUCGGAUGUGCCCAGAUGGGAUUAGCUAGUAGGUGGGGUAAUGGCUCACCUAGGCGACGAUCCCUAGCUGGCCUGAGAGGAUGACCAGCCACACUGGAACUGAGACACGGUCCAGACUCCUACGGGAGGCAGCAGUGGGGAAUAUUGCACAAUGGGCGCAAGCCUGAUGCAGCCAUGCCGCGUGUAUGAAGAAGGCCUUCGGGUUGUAAAGUACUUUCAGCGGGGAGGAAGGCGGUGAGGUUAAUAACCUUGCCGAUUGACGUUACCCGCAGAAGAAGCACCGGCUAACUCCGUGCCAGCAGCCGCCGUAA